AUUGAACGCUGGCGGCAUGCUUUACACGUGCAAGUCGAACGGCAGCGCUGGCUUCGGCCUGGCGGCUAGUUGCGAACUGUUGAGUAAUGCAUCGGAACGGGCCCAGUAGUGGUGGAUAGCCCGGCGAAAGCCGGAUUAAUACCCCAUACGACCUGAGGGUGGAAGCUGGGGACCGAAAUGCCUCGCGCCAUUGUAGCUGCCGAUGUCGGAUAACCUAGGUGGUGCGGUAAAGGCUUACCAAGGCGACGAUCCGUAGCUGGUCUGAGAGGACGACCAGCCACACUGGGACUGAGACACGGCCCAGACUCCUACGGGAGGCAGCAGUGGGGAAUUUUGGACAAUGGGGGCAACCCUGAUCCAGCCAUGCCGCGUGCGGGAAGAAGGCCUUCGGGUUGUAAAACGCUUUUGUUCGGGAAGAAAUCCUCUGGGCUAAUACCCCGGGGGGAUGACGGUACCGGAAGAAUAAGCACCGGCUAACUACGUG
RNAcentral lists this ribosomal RNA (484 nucleotides) under uncultured bacterium. RNAcentral's name for it is "partial 16S ribosomal RNA". It matches the Rfam family "Bacterial small subunit ribosomal RNA", at positions 30 to 507 of the family's 1533-position model. The record is from RNAcentral.